Long non-coding RNA from Lytechinus variegatus (green sea urchin), 848 nucleotides. RefSeq lists it as uncharacterized. The record is from RefSeq and is a predicted model, not a curated record. The transcript is spliced from 2 exons. NCBI's taxonomy places the organism in Eukaryota, Metazoa, Echinodermata, Echinoidea, Temnopleuroida, Toxopneustidae.
AAAAACAACGCUAUCCUUAAGUUCAUCAAACCUCUUAUUAAUUUGACUAACCUCAUUUGAAAGUUGAUCAAUCUUGUCUCCUAGGUUAGAUGUAGAUUCUGAUAUUUUCUUGUAAAGGUCUGCUAGGGAUAACUGAGGUAGGCUGUUACCCGCUUCUUGGGUUGAUGUUUGAAGGGCUGGGGGCGUCUUGUUAGCCGUCUUAGAGCGAGUACUUGGGUACAUGAUGACUACGAAUAAAUCGAAGAAAAUGCAGUGAGAAGAGUGUAUCUGGUUAUUCGUAGUAAGAUCAGUUUUGAUGAAAUGAAGACAUUAAUAAUCCUAAUAAUCCAUACGCAAGUGCAGUAAUUCAAAUAUCAGGUACAUCCUUAUAGUCAUGAUAGUUGCGGCGACAUUGGCCAAGAGCACUCAGUUAAAGUACGUCCGUCCCCAUCGGUGGUCAAGCAGUGUAAUGUCAGUCUUCAUCUUUUCAAUAGCGUUCUAUUAGAUUUCAACAUUCCUCUUGUGUCCUUUUUAUGAUUAAAUGGACCAUCAUCUUUCACAGGAGAAAGCGUUGCCUCUUUUGCCACAAAGAAAUCUUGUUUUAACAGUAUAUCUGUAAUAUUCAUCAGACCUAUCCAUUUAACACUCAUUAACAAAUGAAACUAAUAUUAUUUAGGGUAAUGCCACAAGGCAGGGGGGGGGUUGAUGUCAGGAUCGAUUUGCUCCUGCAUCUACAAUUUUGUGAGAAAUCUGCUUCCUGAGGUUCCUUUUUUUUACCAUUUUUCUAUGGAUUUGCAAUUCUAUUUAGAGACAAGUUUUGCUCUUCAUUCUUGCAAAAUUUAGAGGUUGAAUUCCUGUACAAACAAAUA